CAGAAUUGUUUUUUUUACGAAGUAACAAUGAAGCAACAAGAUCGUGGCUAUGUGUGGAUAUAAUUCUUUGUUUGGACAACAACUCGACAUGGUUUAAUACUUUGGACCAUUGGGAAUGUAAGCAGAUGAGGUUUUGAUGAGUUGUGUGCAUACCUGGACAUUCCUAAGUAAUCGAAGACAAUAAAGUGGAUGGAGAGACAGUGUGCUGCUUGACCGAACAGAAGGUGGCAUUUAUUUUUUCUGGGUCAUUUAAAAAGCAACUGAAAUUCAACACAUUUGUACAGGAACUAAAGCAUGUAACACUUACUUUAGUACCAGUGCCAGAUGUAAACACUGAGCAACCUUUGCAAACAGACAGAAAUGAGGCAAGUUGAAGGCUGCCUCUUGGUUUUCUUAUUCAACCUUUCCCGAGAGAUCUUCAGACCAAACUUGACAAAAGGGAAGCAUGUCAGAAGUCCGGCAAAGAUCGACAUACGAUGAUUCGUGUUCUGCAUGAAGCAGUUAUAGAACACACAAUGUAUCCCAACAAUGCGGAAUAUAUGCAAGUAGUCAGAGCACUUAUUGUGAAGUAUCCUUUCCUUAAGGAUCUGGAGGGAAACGGCUAUCAUACCUGGCAUCACUUAAACGCAAAUUAAAAGCGGAGCGUGCCGCUUUGAUUCAUGAAGACGAAGUGAAAAGGAGUAAAGAGAAGUUCGGUCACAAGAGAGCCAGAGAGUCUACAGAGGUGGCAGGAGCCUGUUGCAGAUCUGUGUCACGGAUGUGCGAUGAGGUUGACAGGAUGCAUCCAUCUGCGGUGAACUUGUACAGACGCUGGAAAGAGGGAUUCACUGGCAUAGUGCCUAAUUGGACCCUGUCAUGGGGUUUGGGGGAAGGAUAAAUAAAGUUGAAAGUUGAAGUUGAAGUUGAGGUGGUCAAGCUGGUGCGAGGAAAAUCCCCAUUAGCAAAAGUGUACACAGAAGCAAGGGAGGAAGUGCUGACAGAGGAUCUACAAGUAUGACCAUCAAAGUCCCUAUCCAACUGUACAGUUGGAAGACUGUAGGGGCGUCAAAUGGCUGAGCGGUGAGGGAGUCGGACUAGUAAUCCGAAGGUUGCCGGAUC
Long non-coding RNA from Hypomesus transpacificus, 1098 nucleotides. RefSeq lists it as uncharacterized. The transcript is spliced from 8 exons. Lineage: Eukaryota; Metazoa; Chordata; Actinopteri; Osmeriformes; Osmeridae. The record is from RefSeq and is a predicted model, not a curated record.